Molecule: ribosomal RNA, 380 nt
Filed under: uncultured cyanobacterium
Lineage: Bacteria; Bacillati; Cyanobacteriota
Description: bacterial SSU rRNA
Rfam family: Bacterial small subunit ribosomal RNA
Source: RNAcentral
CGAAAGCCUGACGGAGCAAGACCGCGUGGGGGAGGAAGGCUCUAGGGUUGUAAACCCCUUUGCUUUGGGAAGAACAAAAUGACGGUACCAAAGGAAUCAGCCUCGGCAAACUCCGUGCCAGCAGACGCGGUAAUACGGAGGAGGCAAGCGUUAUCCGGAAUGAUUGGGCGUAAAGCGUCCGCAGGUGGCUUGUCAAGUCUGCUGUCAAAGACUGGGGCUUAACUCCGGGCAGGCAGUGGAAACUGACAGGCUAGAGUGCAGGAGGGGUAGAGGGAAUUCCCGGUGUAGCGGGGAAAUGCGUAGAUAUCGGGAAGAACAUCGGUGGCGAAGGCGCUCUACUGGACUGCAACUGGCACUCAGGGACGAAAGCUAGGGGAGCG